This 393-nucleotide ribosomal RNA is filed under the name uncultured bacterium. RNAcentral describes it as "partial 16S ribosomal RNA". It matches the Rfam family "Bacterial small subunit ribosomal RNA", at positions 523 to 918 of the family's 1533-position model. The record is from RNAcentral.
AUACGUAGGGAGCGAGCGUUGUCCGGAUUUAUUGGGCAUAAAGGGUGCGCAGGCGGGUGGUUAAGUCGGCUGUGAAAUUUUGCGGCUCAACUCCAAAAAAGCCGUCGAAACUGGUUUCCUUGAGUGUAGUUGAGGUAGGCGGAAUUCCUGGUGUAGCGGUGAAAUGCUUAGAUAUCACGAAGAACUCCAAUUGCGAAGGCAGCUCGCUGGGGUACAACUGACACUGAGGCUCGAAAGUGUGGGUAUCAAACAGGAUUAGAUACCCUGGUAGUCCACACAGUAAACGAUGAAUACUCGCUGUUUGCGAUAUACAGUAAGCGGCCAAGCGAAAGCAUUAAGUAUUCCACCUGGGGAGUACGCCGGCAACGGUGAAACUCAAAUGAAUUGACGGGG